Molecule: long non-coding RNA, 913 nt
Filed under: Pongo abelii (Sumatran orangutan)
Lineage: Eukaryota; Metazoa; Chordata; Mammalia; Primates; Hominidae
Description: lincRNA
Source: RNAcentral
CUGGCACCUAUCCACAGCCUGAACCUUGGAGAGCACCUCCCUUGCAUAUGACUUCUGCAAAGGGCAUGUUUCAGCUCACAGGGACAAAGAGCCACUGCACCAGAGAACCAGAAAGAGUUACAGACAUGGCUCACAGGCUUAAGUGUCUUGCUGUAGGUCAUACGGCAGGUUAAUAACAACAUUGGGGCAAGAACACAGCUUACCCUAGUCCUGGGAAAGGCUCCCACACCAAGCUACACACUUUUGCAGUGCUGUUCCACAUGUGAAAAUCCGCUAAGACAAAUAGGUCACAAAAACACCAUGGGAGACGAUGAUGUCUUUUCCUUUUUGUUAUUUUGAUAAAGCUUCAUACAUGGGACAAAAGGAAGAACUAGCCCACCAAGUAGGUUUAAAGGGAGCGUCAGACACAAAAAUGACAUGCUCCAUAUUGCAGUCUAGAAGGAACAACAUGGUGAAUUGUCCACUGCAGAACACUUCACUCUGUCUCGAUUACUACAUGGUGAAUUGAAGUUCCAGUAGAGAGGGAAUCGAGCCGAUACUGAGGAGAUCAAUACCCAUCACCGUAUGGAUCUACUUCUUGGAAUUUGCAAGGAAACCAGUCAACAGAUUUUUCAAGCUUUAUAAGUUUAUCUGCCUGAGAAGUUCACCGGCUACAUAACAUCCUGGACUCUGGAGCCCAAGAGAUGUGUAGUUUCCAUUUUGGAGCCAUUUUCUUUAAUAAAUAAGUAGUGAGGCUGCCAUUCUUGUCAAAAUUGAGGACCACAACCUUACUCAUGAAACUGAAAGAUUGCUUGUUACGAGGAGUUCUGUUUAAGCCAUAAAUGCAAUGUAUCCUUUUUAAAUAAAUGUAUCCAGAAUCUUAGGUGUUCAUUGCUCCAAGCUAUGUGCAGAAUAAAAAGAAAAAAAAAAACAG